RNAcentral lists this ribosomal RNA (524 nucleotides) under uncultured bacterium. Its description in RNAcentral is "partial 16S ribosomal RNA". It matches the Rfam family "Bacterial small subunit ribosomal RNA", at positions 28 to 523 of the family's 1533-position model. The record is from RNAcentral.
GACGAACGCUGGCGGCGUGCCUAAUACAUGCAAGUCGAGCGCAGGAAAUCGACGGAACCCUUCGGGGGGAAGUCGACGGAAUGAGCGGCGGACGGGUGAGUAACACGUAAAGAACCUGCCCUCAGGUCUGGGAUAACCACGAGAAAUCGGGGCUAAUACCGGAUGGGUCAUCGGACCGCAUGGUCCGAGGAUGAAAGGCGCUUCGGCGUCGCCUGGGGAUGGCUUUGCGGUGCAUUAGCUAGUUGGUGGGGUAAUGGCCCACCAAGGCGACGAUGAAUAGCCGACCUGAGAGGGUGAUCGGCCACACUGGGACUGAGACACGGCCCAGACUCCUACGGGGUGCAGCAGUAGGGAAUCUUCCACAAUGGACGAAAGUCUGAUGGAGCAACGCCGCGUGAGCGAUGAAGGCCUUCGGGUCGUAAAGUUCUGUUGUAAGGGAAGAACAAGUGCCGCAGGCAAUGGCGGCACCUUGACGGUACCUUGCGAGAAAGCCACGGCUAACUACGUGCCAGCCGCCGCCGUAA